This 429-nucleotide ribosomal RNA is filed under the name Pseudomonadota bacterium. RNAcentral describes it as "Proteobacteria bacterium partial 16S ribosomal RNA". It matches the Rfam family "Bacterial small subunit ribosomal RNA", at positions 355 to 776 of the family's 1533-position model. Lineage: Bacteria; Pseudomonadati; Pseudomonadota. The record is from RNAcentral.
UGGGGAAUAUUGGACAAUGGGCGAAAGCCUGAUCCAGCCAUGCCGCGUGUGUGAAGAAGGUCUUCGGAUUGUAAAGCACUUUAAGUUGGGAGGAAGGGCAGUAAGCGAAUACCUUGCUGUUUUGACGUUACCGACAGAAUAAGCACCGGCUAACUCUGUGCCAGCAGCCGCGGUAAUACAGAGGGUGCAAGCGUUAAUCGGAAUUACUGGGCGUAAAGCGCGCGUAGGUGGUUCGUUAAGUUGAAUGUGAAAGCCCCGGGCUCAACCUGGGAACGGCAUCCAGAACUGGCGAGCUAGAGUAGGGCAGAGGGGGGGGGAAUUUCCUGGGUAGCGGUGAAAUGCGUAGAUAAAGGAGGGAAAACCAGUGGCGAAGGCGACCACCUGGGCUCAUACUGACACUGAGGUGCGAAAGGGUGGGGAGCAAACAGG